This 1149-nucleotide ribosomal RNA is filed under the name Escherichia coli. RNAcentral describes it as "partial 23S ribosomal RNA". It matches the Rfam family "Bacterial large subunit ribosomal RNA", at positions 1003 to 2136 of the family's 2925-position model. The record is from RNAcentral. Lineage: Bacteria; Pseudomonadati; Pseudomonadota; Gammaproteobacteria; Enterobacterales; Enterobacteriaceae.
GUCCGUCGUGAAGAGGGAAACAACCCAGACCGCCAGCUAAGGUCCCAAAGUCAUGGUUAAGUGGGAAACGAUGUGGGAAGGCCCAGACAGCCAGGAUGUUGGCUUAGAAGCAGCCAUCAUUUAAAGAAAGCGUAAUAGCUCACUGGUCGAGUCGGCCUGCGCGGAAGAUGUAACGGGGCUAAACCAUGCACCGAAGCUGCGGCAGCGACGCUUAUGCGUUGUUGGGUAGGGGAGCGUUCUGUAAGCCUGUGAAGGUGUGCUGUGAGGCAUGCUGGAGGUAUCAGAAGUGCGAAUGCUGACAUAAGUAACGAUAAAGCGGGUGAAAAGCCCGCUCGCCGGAAGACCAAGGGUUCCUGUCCAACGUUAAUCGGGGCAGGGUGAGUCGACCCCUAAGGCGAGGCCGAAAGGCGUAGUCGAUGGGAAACAGGUUAAUAUUCCUGUACUUGGUGUUACUGCGAAGGGGGGACGGAGAAGGCUAUGUUGGCCGGGCGACGGUUGUCCCGGUUUAAGCGUGUAGGCUGGUUUUCCAGGCAAAUCCGGAAAAUCAAGGCUGAGGCGUGAUGACGAGGCACUACGGUGCUGAAGCAACAAAUGCCCUGCUUCCAGGAAAAGCCUCUAAGCAUCAGGUAACAUCAAAUCGUACCCCAAACCGACACAGGUGGUCAGGUAGAGAAUACCAAGGCGCUUGAGAGAACUCGGGUGAAGGAACUAGGCAAAAUGGUGCCGUAACUUCGGGAGAAGGCACGCUGAUAUGUAGGUGAAGUCCCUCGCGGAUGGAGCUGAAAUCAGUCGAAGAUACCAGCUGGCUGCAACUGUUUAUUAAAAACACAGCACUGUGCAAACACGAAAGUGGACGUAUACGGUGUGACGCCUGCCCGGUGCCGGAAGGUUAAUUGAUGGGGUCAGCGCAAGCGAAGCUCUUGAUCGAAGCCCCGGUAAACGGCGGCCGUAACUAUAACGGUCCUAAGGUAGCGAAAUUCCUUGUCGGGUAAGUUCCGACCUGCACGAAUGGCGUAAUGAUGGCCAGGCUGUCUCCACCCGAGACUCAGUGAAAUUGAACUCGCUGUGAAGAUGCAGUGUACCCGCGGCAAGACGGAAAGACCCCGUGAACCUUUACUAUAGCUUGACACUGAACAUUGAGCCUUGAUG